Molecule: microRNA precursor, 210 nt
Organism: Ipomoea nil (Japanese morning glory)
Lineage: Eukaryota; Viridiplantae; Streptophyta; Magnoliopsida; Solanales; Convolvulaceae
Rfam family: MIR159 microRNA precursor family
Source: Rfam
AAUGGUUGGAGUGAGCUUUCUUCAGUCCACUCAUGGGUCGGGGAAGGGUUUGAAUUAGCUGCCGACUCAUUCAUUCAAACACAGUAGAUUGAAGUUAGUUUUUCGUCCUGCGUUUUUGGUACUACUGUGAAUGUGUGAAUGAUGCGGGAGAUAAGUUUCACCCUUCCCUCGUCUGUGCUUGGACUGAAGGGAGCUCCCUCUUGCCUUAAU